GUUGUCUUCCUGUGUCUGAUAGGAUCCAGGACCCUGUGCUGGGAUGCAGCAACCCAUGUGAGGCUUCGGGUUCCCUGGGAAUUAUUCUGUCAGUGAGCACUACCACAGCAUGCACUAGCAAAAACCCAAGCACACUUACUGCAAUCCUUGAUGUCUAAAACCAGCAGAAAAAAUGGCUACUUUCCCUUUGUCUUGUUUUUGAAGGCCUUUCAUUACUGGGAUGCACUGAAAAUGUAUCAAUUACUAUUUUAGUUUUCUUGUGUAGCUCUGCUCCCUCCAGCAGAAUAAUGCUGAUUUACAGUAGGUGAGAGUCUAGCAUUUAGAUAUUUGAACAGAUAAAAUCAUUUGCCUUUUGAAUACUUUGGCUUUCAAUCUCUGACAGAUUUAGCUACAGCAGAGAAAUGCUACUGCUGCCUGUUUUGCUCACUCCUCUCCAGAGAUUUCUGCCUCGACCACGGUGGUUAAAAAACUGGGAAGAAGCUUCUUGGCCCCUGCAGCUUAGUCUCUGCCGUUGUAGUUUCAGCCAGCUCCGUUCUCAAGUGUGUACUAUCAUCAUCCAGAGGAAGUCCUCCUUAAUCUCCGCUUGUCUUGAAUGA
This 596-nucleotide long non-coding RNA is filed under the name Anser brachyrhynchus (Pink-footed goose). Its description in RNAcentral is "lncRNA (ENSABRG00000003852.1)". Lineage: Eukaryota; Metazoa; Chordata; Aves; Anseriformes; Anatidae. The record is from RNAcentral.